CAAUAGCGUAUAUUAACGUUGUUGCAGUUAAAAGGCUCGUAGUCGAACUUAUGAUCUUGUACUCUAUUCCCUUUGCCAAGCGCAAUCGUGUGUAUGAGUACGGGUCAUCCUUCUGGAAACUAUACCUGCUCUUCACUGAGUGGGCUAUACGAUCCAGAUCAUUUACUGUGAGUAAAUCAGAGUGUUUAAAGCAGGCUUCACGCCUGAAUGUUCUAGCAUGGAAUAAUAAGAUAGGGCUUUGGUUCUAUUUUGUUGGCUUCUAGGACUAAAGUAAUGAUUGAUAGGGAUAGUUGGGGGUGCUAGUAUUUAACGGUCAGCGGUGAAAUGCGUGGACCCGUUAAAGACUAACUUAUGCGAAAGCAUUCACCAAGGAUAUUUUCUUUGA
RNAcentral lists this ribosomal RNA (385 nucleotides) under uncultured eukaryote. RNAcentral describes it as "partial 18S ribosomal RNA". It matches the Rfam family "Eukaryotic small subunit ribosomal RNA", at positions 592 to 976 of the family's 1831-position model. The record is from RNAcentral.